UACGAAGGGUGCAAGCGUUAAUCGGAAUUACUGGGCGUAAAGCGCGCGUAGGUGGUUCAGCAAGUUGGAUGUGAAAGCCCUGGGCUCAACCUGGGAACUGCAUCCAAAACUCUGAGCUAGAGUACGGUAGAGGGUAGUGGAUUACCUCGUGUAGCGGUGAAAUAGCGUAGAUAUAGGAAGGAACACCAGUGGCGAAGGACGACUACCUGGACGUGAUACUGACACUGAGGUGCGAAAGACGU
This 242-nucleotide ribosomal RNA is filed under the name uncultured bacterium. Its description in RNAcentral is "partial 16S ribosomal RNA". It matches the Rfam family "Bacterial small subunit ribosomal RNA", at positions 524 to 763 of the family's 1533-position model. The record is from RNAcentral.